This 393-nucleotide ribosomal RNA is filed under the name uncultured bacterium. RNAcentral's name for it is "partial 16S ribosomal RNA". It matches the Rfam family "Bacterial small subunit ribosomal RNA", at positions 523 to 918 of the family's 1533-position model. The record is from RNAcentral.
AUACGGAAGGUCCGGGCGUUAUCCGGAUUUAUUGGGUUUAAAGGGAGCGCAGGCGGAGAUGCAAGCGUGACGUCAAAUUUCGGGGCUCAACCCGGUCUCGCGUCGCGAACUGCGUCCCUUGGUUGCGGGAAGGGGAGGCGGAACUCGUGGUGUAGCGGGGAAAUGCAUAGAUAUCACGAAGAACUCCGAUCGCGAAGGCAGCCUUCCGGCCCGUCUACGACGCUCAUGCUCGAAGGUGCGGGUAUCAAACAGGAUUAGAUACCCUGGUAGUCCGCACAGUAAACGAUGGACACCCGCGGUUUGGCCUGUAUGGCUGAGCCGCCAAGCGAAAGCGUUAAGUGUCCCACCUGGAGAGUACGCCGGCAACGGUGAAACUCAAAUGAAUUGGCGGGG